GACGAACGCUGGCGGCGUGCUUAACACAUGCAAGUCGAACGGACGAGUGAGAUAAGUUUACUUAACUCACAGGUUAGUGGCGGACGGGUGAGUAACACGUGGAUAAUCUACCUGCAACACCGGGAUAACGCUGUGAAAACGGUGCUAAUACCGGAUACGUUCCCUUGUGCGCAUGUAUGAGGGAAGAAAGCUCAGGCGGUUGCAGAUGAGUCCGCGGCUGAUUAGCUAGUUGGUGAGGUAAAGGCUCACCAAGGCGAUGAUCAGUAGCCGGCCUGAGAGGGUGAACGGCCACACUGGGACUGAGACACGGCCCAGACUCCUACGGGAGGCAGCAGUGGGGAAUCUUCCGCAAUGGGCGCAAGCCUGACGGAGCAACGCCGCGUGGGUGAAGAAGGCCUCGGUUGUAAGACCUGUCUUAUGGAGAAGUCAGUGACGGUACCAUAGGAGGAAGCCACGGCGUAACUACGUGCCAGCAGCCGCGGUAACUAGUACU
RNAcentral lists this ribosomal RNA (493 nucleotides) under uncultured bacterium. Its description in RNAcentral is "bacterial SSU rRNA". It matches the Rfam family "Bacterial small subunit ribosomal RNA", at positions 28 to 531 of the family's 1533-position model. The record is from RNAcentral.